UUUGCGUUCACCUGAACCAGCAGUCACCAAAACAAUGAACCGCUAUGUUUUGACGAUGAGUGUCAAAGAGCUAGGCACUCCAAUGUUCUGCAGUAAGUGCCGUGAUAUGACGGAAAGAGCGAAGGAAGUUGCCCGGCGAAAAGGACACAUUGAGAACUAUAACAUAAAGGAUCGUUUCGUAGUUUGCCACAACUGUCCAACGGCCCCAAAUAUUGUUCUCAAAACUCCUAAGAAAUGGGCGAUGAAAGUGCAUCACAGUCGUCGAAAGAAAAUGGGUGUAGCACCAAGUCCGAAGACAAUCGACUAUGAGCCCGAAUUCCAACUGAGAAAGAAAGGUGUUGUCAUGCACUGUGGGCCCAGUCGGACUAAAUUGUAUACUUUUAGGAUUUUUCUAUAUAAAAAAUCCAUAUGGAUUAAAAAAAAUCCUGAGGGAUUUAAAGUCAAAUUAUUAAAAAAAUACUCAAAACUAAUAACAAAAUAAUUUUCAUUACAAAAAAUAAUUCAUUUUGUUAGUUGUCAUCGAUUUUACGGAGCAAAACAUAUAAUGUGAAACGAAAUUGUCAACUGUAGCUGUCACAGAAACAAUACAUGUACACAAGCAUCACACGUACAAGCCAUAACAACAGAGAAAGAUAUGCUGAGCGAACAUUCUAAUACAUGCGCUCACUACUUAGCUUCAUCGCUGUGAUACUUUGAGCGUACAUGUGAUGUUUAUGUAUUUGUAUUUUUUCUGUGACAGCUACAGUUGACAAUUUUGUAUUGCACUAUAUGUUUUGCUCCGUAAAAUCGAUGACAAUCAACAAAAUGAAUUUAAAAUAAUUUUGAGUAUUGUUUUAAUAUUUUGAAUUUCCUUCAGGAUUUUUUUUAAUCCAUAUGGAUUUUUUAUAUAGAAAAAUCCUAAAAGUAUACAAUUUAGUCCGACUGGGCCCACAGUGUGGAUCGUGAUCAAAAUGCUUCACGCAAUAUGAUUUACAAAGCAUUGCGUAAGCUACAUCGUCAACCAGAUGAUCCCAUUUUCAAUAUGAGUGUUGCCGCAUGGAAACAACAAUAUCGUUCGAAUCCAGCAGUUCCAGCGAAUCGCCCGAAUCGUGCAAAACGUGCAGCAUAAUAGUAAAAGAAGUUAAGCCGCGGUCGUUCUAUUAGAAGUGACCAGCGUGACCCAACUCUAUCGUAUUAACCAGUAUUAACGCGGUAGGGAGUACUAUUCUACUAGGGGGUAGACACGUGGAAUAGGAUUAGACUUUUUAGUGUAAAAAUUCGAGAAAUUAAAGUGGAAUAGAGAAUUCAGUAGCUGGAUUCACAUGGAUUCACUAAUCCUGUGUAUGGAAUAGCGAAAAUGGGUUAAUUCAAAGUUUUUGUAAUCGAUAGUACAGAAUUUGAUAAAAGCAUUGAACUUGUUUUGAGAUAGUA
Long non-coding RNA from Contarinia nasturtii (swede midge), 1410 nucleotides. RefSeq lists it as uncharacterized. NCBI's taxonomy places the organism in Eukaryota, Metazoa, Arthropoda, Insecta, Diptera, Cecidomyiidae. The record is from RefSeq and is a predicted model, not a curated record. The transcript has 3 exons.